Molecule: ribosomal RNA, 249 nt
Filed under: uncultured bacterium
Lineage: Bacteria
Description: partial 16S ribosomal RNA
Rfam family: Bacterial small subunit ribosomal RNA
Source: RNAcentral
CACGCCGUAAACGAUGAGUACUAGGUGUAGGGGGUAUCGACCCCCCCUGUGCCGCAGUAAACACAAUAAGUACUCCGCCUGGGGAGUACGACCGCAAGGUUGAAACUCAAAGGAAUUGACGGGGGCCCGCACAAGCGGUGGAGCAUGUGGUUUAAUUCGAAGCAACGCGAAGAACCUUACCAGGUCUUGACAUCCCAGUGACCACUCUAGAGAUAGAGUUUUCCCUUCGGGGACAUUGGUGACAGGUGG